ACGCUGGCGGCGUGCUUAACACAUGCAAGUCGAACGAUGAAGCCUAGCUUGCUAGGUGGAUUAGUGGCGAACGGGUGAGUAAUACGUGAGUAACCUACCUUUAACUCUGGGAUAAGCCUGGGAAACUGGGUCUAAUACCGGAUACGACCAAUCUCCGCAUGGGGUGUUGGUGGAAAGCGUUAUGUAGUGGUUAUAGAUGGGCUCACGGCCUAUCAGCUUGUUGGUGAGGUAACGGCUCACCAAGGCGACGACGGGUAGCCGGCCUGAGAGGGUGACCGGCCACACUGGGACUGAGACACGGCCCAGACUCCUACGGGAGGCAGCAGUGGGGAAUAUUGCACAAUGGGCGCAAGCCUGAUGCAGCGACGCCGCGUGAGGGAUGACGGCCUUCGGGUUGUAAACCUCUGUUAGCAGGGAAGAAGAGAAAUUGACGGUACCUGCAGAGAAAGCGCCGGCUAACUACGUGCCAGCAGCCGCGGUAAUACGUAGGGCGCGAGCGUUGUCCGGAAUUAUUGGGCGUAAAGAGCUUGUAGGCGGUUUGUCGCGUCUGCUGUGAAAGGCCGGGGCUUAACCCCGUGUAUUGCAGUGGGUACGGGCAGACUAGAGUGCAGUAGGGGAGACUGGAACUCCUGGUGUAGCGGUGGAAUGCGCAGAUAUCAGGAAGAACACCGAUGGCGAAGGCAGGUCUCUGGGCUGUAACUGACGCUGAGAAGCGAAAGCAUGGGGAGCGAACAGGAUUAGAUACCCUGGUAGUCCAUGCCGUAAACGUUGGGCACUAGGUGUGGGGGACAUUCCACGUUUUCCGCGCCGUAGCUAACGCAUUAAGUGCCCCGCCUGGGGAGUACGGCCGCAAGGCUAAAACUCAAAGAAAUUGACGGGGGCCCGCACAAGCGGCGGAGCAUGCGGAUUAAUUCGAUGCAACGCG
Molecule: ribosomal RNA, 925 nt
Filed under: uncultured bacterium
Lineage: Bacteria
Description: bacterial SSU rRNA
Rfam family: Bacterial small subunit ribosomal RNA
Source: RNAcentral